CAACCAUGUCUGUUUCAAAUGUUAUAAGUUGAUUAAUAUACACAUCAACUUCAUCAGAAAGGAUGAGUUUGGAAAUUACUUACCCAUGCAUAAGCCGAGAAGAUGGCAACUCCUCUUUGAAAUGGCUCAAUUUCUCUGAAGCUCUCAUAUUGAUUUAGAACCUUUCGUCCAUACCAAUCAAUGAUCUUUUUACAUAUAGAUAAUAAAAAAGAAAUGAUUCAAUAUGUCUUGUAAGCCUUACUGAAUGUAAUGGAAAUUUAUCAAAUAUAAAGUCAAGAGAAACUUACCUGGUAAUCGAUGUAUUUCCCAGUCAUAAGAUCAUUGAUCUGGGAAGUUGUUAUGAUAAUUUCCUGGUUUGGUGACUGCCAUGUCAUAGUGCUGCAGUUAUUAAGAUAAUUAGAACAUUAAUAAUAAUGAUUAAUCUACUAAUCUAUAGUUUUUUAAUAAAGAAAUUACAACAUUACCUUCCAUCCUUGACAUCAUUCACAUAUUUAUCUAGCACCUCCUGUUCUUUUCUUAGUAACAUUUGAUAGUAUUUGGUUGUUUUCCAAUCAGCUAGAGGAACCUUUAUUUUCUCUUCAUUUCCUAGGUCCAUUUC
Molecule: long non-coding RNA, 598 nt
Filed under: Aquilegia coerulea
Lineage: Eukaryota; Viridiplantae; Streptophyta; Magnoliopsida; Ranunculales; Ranunculaceae
Description: long non-coding RNA (ACOE_LNC002000)
Source: RNAcentral